GGACUACCCGGGUAUCUAAUCCUGUUUGCUCCCCACGCUUUCGCACCUGAGCGUCAGUACCGGGCCAGUGAGCCGCCUUCGCCACUGGUGUUCUUCCGAAUAUCUACGAAUUUCACCUCUACACUCGGAGUUCCACUCACCUCUCCCGGACUCGAAGAUCGCCAGUAUCAAAGGCAGUUCCGAGGUUGAGCCUCGGCAUUUCACCCCUGACUUAACGAUCCGCCUGCGUGCGCUUUACGCCCAGUGAUUCCGAACAACGCUAGCCCCCUUCGUAUUACCGCGGCUGCUGGCAC
RNAcentral lists this ribosomal RNA (293 nucleotides) under uncultured Alphaproteobacteria bacterium. RNAcentral's name for it is "partial 16S ribosomal RNA". Lineage: Bacteria; Pseudomonadati; Pseudomonadota; Alphaproteobacteria. The record is from RNAcentral.